CUUCUUUUCAUUUAUUAAAAAAAUAUAAAUGGCUAUGCGUUCUGUACUAGACUAACUGAGACUUGUCAUGGCACUUGUAUACUGUUGUUGUUCUCUUGUUGACCUGACUGCUUCUGUUGUUCUCAUUUGUAAGUCGCUUUGGAUAAAAGCGUCUGCUAAAUGGUUAAAUGUAAAUGUAAUUAAAAGGGAACACGGGCAGUGUUGCUGUAUGAAGGUAAAACCGUAGCAAAACUCGAGAGCUUGUUGAUCUGAAUGUGAGAACUUGCAUCCAUCUAGUGGCUAAACAGUGGCAUUACAUAAGAAUAUUAUCUUUCUGGCCACCAAAUGCCUCUAAUUUGCCUCUUUGCACUGGAAUUUAAAAACAUUUUCUAUAUUUUAACGCUAAAUACUACACUAAUUGUAAUAUAAAUAAUAAACAUAUUAGAAAAUGUUAUAUUUUAAAUGGUCAUUCAUGGAUCAUAAUUAUCGUGCAUAUUUAGUACGAGCAUCUCUUCAAAUUAAAUAAACAAAACUGAGCUUAAAUGUAGUACAGCUAUUUUAA
Carassius carassius (crucian carp) is the source of this 541-nucleotide long non-coding RNA. RefSeq lists it as uncharacterized. The transcript is spliced from 2 exons. NCBI's taxonomy places the organism in Eukaryota, Metazoa, Chordata, Actinopteri, Cypriniformes, Cyprinidae. The record is from RefSeq and is a predicted model, not a curated record.